This 253-nucleotide ribosomal RNA is filed under the name uncultured bacterium. RNAcentral's name for it is "partial 16S ribosomal RNA". It matches the Rfam family "Bacterial small subunit ribosomal RNA", at positions 524 to 776 of the family's 1533-position model. The record is from RNAcentral.
UACGAAGGGGGCUAGCGUUGUUCGGAAUUACUGGGCGUAAAGCGCACGUAGGCGGACAUUUAAGUCAGGGGUGAAAUCCCGGGGCUCAACCCCGGAACUGCCCUUGAAACUGCUAAGCUAGAAUCUUGGAGAGGCGAGUGGAAUUCCGAGUGUAGAGGUGAAAUUCGUAGAUAUUCGGAAGAACACCAGUGGCGAAGGCGACUCGCUGGACAAGUAUUGACGCUGAGGUGCGAAAGCGUGGGGAGCAAACAGG